CACGUGGGUAACCUGCCCAAGAGAUAGGGAUAACACCUGGAAACAGAUGCUAAUACCGGAUAACAACAGAUGAUGCCUAUCAACUGUUUAAAAGAUGGUUCUGCUAUCACUCUUGGAUGGACCUGCGGUGCAUUAGCUAGUUGGUAGGGUAACGGCCUACCAAGGCGAUGAUGCAUAGCCGAGUUGAGAGACUGACCGGCCACAUUGGGACUGAGACACGGCCCAAACUCCUACGGGAGGCAGCAGGG
This 248-nucleotide ribosomal RNA is filed under the name uncultured Lactobacillus sp. RNAcentral's name for it is "partial 16S ribosomal RNA". It matches the Rfam family "Bacterial small subunit ribosomal RNA", at positions 114 to 354 of the family's 1533-position model. The record is from RNAcentral. Lineage: Bacteria; Bacillati; Bacillota; Bacilli; Lactobacillales; Lactobacillaceae.